This 1022-nucleotide ribosomal RNA is filed under the name Ophiocordyceps blakebarnesii. Its description in RNAcentral is "SSU rRNA". It matches the Rfam family "Eukaryotic small subunit ribosomal RNA", at positions 71 to 1104 of the family's 1831-position model. The record is from RNAcentral. Lineage: Eukaryota; Fungi; Ascomycota; Sordariomycetes; Hypocreales; Ophiocordycipitaceae.
CAACUAUACGGCGAAACUGCGAACGGCUCAUUAUAUAAGUUAUCGUUUAUUUGAUAGCACCUUACUACUUGGGUAACCGUGGUAAUUCUAGAGCUAAUACAUGCUAAAAAUCCCGACUCCGGAAGGGAUGUGUUUAUUAGAUUCAAAACCAAUGCCCCCUGGGCUCACUGGUGAUUCAUGAUAACCGCUCGAAUCGCACGGCCUUGCGCCGGCGAUGGUUCAUUCAAAUUUCUUCCCUAUCAACUUUCGAUGUUUGGGUAGUGGCCAAACAUGGUUGCAACGGGUAACGGAGGGUUAGGGCUCGACCCCGGAGAAGGAGCCUGAGAAACGGCUACUACAUCCAAGGAAGGCAGCAGGCGCGCAAAUUACCCAAUCCCGACACGGGGAGGUAGUGACAAUAAAUACCGAUAUAGGGCUCUUUUGGGUCUUAUAAUUGGAAUGAGUACAAUUUAAAUCCCUUAACGAGGAACAAUUGGAGGGCAAGUCUGGUGCCAGCAGCCGCGGUAAUUCCAGCUCCAAUAGCGUAUAUUAAAGUUGUUGUGGUUAAAAAGCUCGUAGUUGAACCUUGGGCCUGGCUGGCCGGUCCGCCUCACCGCGUGCACUGGUCCGGCCGGGCCUUUCCCUCCGCGGAACCCCAUGCCCUUCGCUGGGCGUGGCGGGGAAACGGGACUGUUACUUUGAAAAAAUUAGAGUGCUCCAGGCAGGCCUAUGCUCGAAUACAUUAGCAUGGAAUAAUGAAAUAGGACGCGCGGUUCUAUUUUGUUGGUUUCUAGGACCGCCGUAAUGAUUGAUAGGGACAGUCGGGGGCGUCAGUAUUCAACCGUCAGAGGUGAAAUUCUUGGACCGGUUGAAGACUAACUACUGCGAAAGCAUUCGCCAAGGAUGUUUUCAUUAAUCAGGAACGAAAGCUAGGGGAUCGAAGACGAUCAGAUACCGUCGUAGUCUUAGCCAUAAACUAUGCCGACUAGGGAUCGGGCGAUGUUAUUCUUUGACUCGCUCGGCACCUUCCGAGAAAUCAAAGU